GACGAACGCUGGCGGCGUGCCUAAUACAUGCAAGUCGAACGCAGGGGGGACGGGUGAGUAACACGUGGGUAACCUCCCAUCAGAGGGGAUAACACUUGGAAACAGGUGCUAAACCGAUAUUGAUGUAUGGACCCGCGGUGCAUUAGCUAGUUGCUGAGGUAACGGCUCACCAAGGCCACGCUCCAUAGCCGGCCUGAGAGGUGGAUCGGCCACACUGGGACUGGGACACGGCCCAGACUCCUACGGGAGGCAGCAGUAGGGAAUCUUCGGCAAUGGACGAAAGUCUGACCGAGCAACGCCGCGUGAGUGAAGAAGGUCUUCGGAUCGUAAAACUCUGUUGUGAGAGAAGCGGUAGUUAACGAGAAAGCCACGGCUAACUACGUGCCAGCAGCCGCGGUAAUAC
This 403-nucleotide ribosomal RNA is filed under the name uncultured bacterium. Its description in RNAcentral is "partial 16S ribosomal RNA". It matches the Rfam family "Bacterial small subunit ribosomal RNA", at positions 28 to 526 of the family's 1533-position model. The record is from RNAcentral.